AAGUAAAUAGUUUAAAAAAAACUUUUAUUUUGAAAAUAAAGAAUACUUUUAUAGUUUUACUUU
This 63-nucleotide transfer RNA is filed under the name Menacanthus cornutus. RNAcentral describes it as "tRNA-Ser". Lineage: Eukaryota; Metazoa; Arthropoda; Insecta; Psocodea; Menoponidae. The record is from RNAcentral.